UACGUAGGCAGCGAGCGUUGUUCGGAUUUACUGGGCGUAAAGAGUGCGUAGGCGGUUUUCUAAGUUUGGUGUGAAAUCUCCCGGCUCAACUGGGAGGGUGCGCCGAAGACUGGAAGGCUUGAGUAUGGGAGAGGUAAGCGGAAUUCCUGGUGUAGCGGUGAAAUGCGUAGAUAUCAGGAGGAACACCUGCGGUGUAGACGGCUUACUGGACCAUAACUGACGCUGAGGCACGAAAGCGUGGGUAGCGAACAGG
RNAcentral lists this ribosomal RNA (253 nucleotides) under uncultured bacterium. RNAcentral's name for it is "partial 16S ribosomal RNA". It matches the Rfam family "Bacterial small subunit ribosomal RNA", at positions 524 to 776 of the family's 1533-position model. The record is from RNAcentral.